AGUUCGAUUCUGGCUCAGAUUGAACGCUGGCGGGAUGCUUUUUACACAUGCAAGUCGAACGGCAGCACGGACUUCGGUCUGGUGGCGAGUGGCGAACGGGUGAGUAAUGUGAUUUCGGAACGCUUCAGCGGGGAUAACUACAGAAAGGUAGCUAAUACACGUAACACUUGGGAAAGUGGGGGACCUUUCGGGCCUCUGCAAUUAGAGCGGCCGAUAUCGGAUUAGCUAGUUGGUGGGGUAACGGCUCACCAAGGCGACGAUCCGUAGCUGGUUUGAGAGGACGACCAGCCACACUGGGACUGAGACACGGCCCAGACUCCUACGGAGGCAGCAGUGGGGAAUUUUGGACAAUGGGAAACCUGAUCCAGCCAUCCCGCGUGUGCGAUGAAGGCCUUCGGGUUGUAAAAGCACUUUUGGCAGGAAAGAAACGGCACGGGAUAAUACCCCGUGCAACUGACGGUACCUGCAGAAUAAGCACCGGCUAACUACGCGCCAGCAGCCGCGGUAAUACGUAGGGUGCAAGCGUUAAUCGGAAUUACCGGCGCAAAGCGUGCGCAGGCGGUUCGGAAAGAAAGAUGUGAAAUCCCAGAGCUUAACUUUGGAACUGCAUUUUUAACUACCGAGCUAGAGUGUGUCAGAGGGAGGUGGAAUUCCGCGUGUAGCAAUGAAAUGCGUAGAUAUGCGGAGGAACACCGAUGGCGAAGGCAGCCUCCUGGGAUAACACUGACGCUCAUGCACGAAAGCGUGGGGAGCAAACAGGAUUAGAUACUCCCUGGUAGUCCACGCCCUAAACGAUGUCAACUAGCUGUUGGGGCCUUCGGGCCUCGGUGGCGCAGCUAACGCGUGAAGUUGACCGCCUGGGGAGUGGUCGCAAGAUUAAAACUCAAAGGAAUUGACGGGACCUGCACAGCGGUGGAUGAUGUGGAUUAAUUCGAUGCAACGCGAAAAACCUUACCCUACCCUUGACAUGUCUGGAAUCCCGAAGAGAUUUGGGAGUGCUGCAAGAGAACCGGAACACAGGUGCUGCAUGGCUGUCGUCAGCUCGUGUCGUGAGAUGUUAAGAAGUCCUGCAACGAGCGCAACCCUUAUUGCCAGUUGCUGUACGAAAAGGCACUCUAAUGAGACCGCCGGUGACAAACCGGAGGAAGGUGGGAUGACGUCAGCCUUCGCGGCCUCAGGUAGGGCUUCACACGUCAUACAAUGGUCGGGACAGAGGGUCGCCAACCCGCGAGGGGGAGCCAAUCCCAGAAACCCUGAUCGUGAACUGGAUCGCAGUCUGCAACUCGACUGCGUGAAGUCGGAAUCGCUAGUAAUCGCGGAUCAGCAUGUCGCGGUGAAGGUUGUCCCGGUCUUGUACACACCGCCCGUCACACCAUGGAGGGUUUGUACUCAGCAUAGUUAGCCUUAACCAUGGGAGGGGGCGAUUACCACGGUAGGAUUCAUGACUGGGGUGAAGUCGUAACAAGGUAA
RNAcentral lists this ribosomal RNA (1470 nucleotides) under uncultured Bordetella sp. RNAcentral describes it as "partial 16S-23S ribosomal RNA intergenic spacer". It matches the Rfam family "Bacterial small subunit ribosomal RNA". Lineage: Bacteria; Pseudomonadati; Pseudomonadota; Betaproteobacteria; Burkholderiales; Alcaligenaceae. The record is from RNAcentral.